CAGCAGCCGCGGGAAUACCGAGGGUGCGAGCGUUAAUCGGAUUUACUGGGCGUAAAGCGUGCGUAGGCGGCUUUUUAAGUCGGAUGUGAAAUCCCUGAGCUUAACUUGGGAAUUGCAUUCGAUACUGGUUAGCUAGAGUGUGGGAGAGGAUGGUAGAAUUCCAGGUGUAGCGGUGAAAUGCGUAGAGAUCUGGAGGAAUACCGAUGGCGAAGGCAGCCAUCUGGCCUAACACUGACGCUGAGGUACGAAAGCAUGGGGAGCAAACAGGAUUAGAUACCCCGGUAGUCCCUGUCUCUUAUAC
RNAcentral lists this ribosomal RNA (301 nucleotides) under uncultured bacterium. RNAcentral's name for it is "partial 16S ribosomal RNA". It matches the Rfam family "Bacterial small subunit ribosomal RNA", at positions 509 to 807 of the family's 1533-position model. The record is from RNAcentral.